AGAGUUUGAUCCUGGCUCAGGAUGAACGCUGGCGGCGUGCCUAAUACAUGCAAGUCGAACGAGUUCUGAUUAUUGAAGGGUGCUUGCAUCUUGAUUUAAUUUUGAACGAGUGGCGGACGGGUGAGUAACACGUGGGUAACCUGCCCUUAAGUGGGGGAUAACAUUUGGAAACAGAUGCUAAUACCGCAUAAAUCCAAGAACCGCAUGGUUCUUGGCUGAAAGAUGGCGUAAGCUAUCGCUUUUGGAUGGACCCGCGGCGUAUUAGCUAGUUGGUGAGGUAACGGCUCACCAAGGCAAUGAUACGUAGCCGAACUGAGAGGUUGAUCGGCCACAUUGGGACUGAGACACGGCCCAAACUCCUACGGGAGGCAGCAGUAGGGAAUCUUCCACAAUGGACGCAAGUCUGAUGGAGCAACGCCGCGUGAGUGAAGAAGGCUUUCGGGUCGUAAAACUCUGUUGUUGGAGAAGAAUGGUCGGCAGAGUAACUGUUGUCGGCGUGACGGUAUCCAACCAGAAAGCCACGGCUAACUACGUGCCAGCAGCCGCGGUAAUACGUAGGUGGCAAGCGUUAUCCGGAUUUAUUGGGCGUAAAGCGAGCGCAGGCGGUUUUUUAAGUCUGAUGUGAAAGCCCUCGGCUUAACCGAGGAAGUGCAUCGGAAACUGGGAAACUUGAGUGCAGAAGAGGACAGUGGAACUCCAUGUGUAGCGGUGAAAUGCGUAGAUAUAUGGAAGAACACCAGUGGCGAAGGCGGCUGUCUGGCCUGUAACUGACGCUGAGGCUCGAAAGCAUGGGUAGCGAACAGGAUUAGAUACCCUGGUAGUCCAUGCCGUAAACGAUGAAUGCUAGGUGUUGGAGGGUUUCCGCCCUUCAGUGCCGCAGCUAACGCACUAAGCAUCCCACCUGGGGAGUACGCCGGCAACGGUGAAACUCAAAGGAAUUGACGGGGGCCCGCACAAGCGGAGGAACAUGUGGUUUAAUUCGAUGAUACGCGAGGAACCUCACCCGGGCUUGAAUUGCAGAGGAAGGAUUUGGAGACAAUGACGCCCUUCGGGGUCUCUGUGAAGGUGCUGCAUGGUUGUCGUCAGCUCGUGCCGUGAGGUGUCGGCUUAAGUGCCAUAACGAGCGCAACCCCUCUCCUUAGUUGCCAUCAGGUUAAGCUGGGCACUCUGGGGACACUGCCACCGUAAGGUGUGAGGAAGGUGGGGAUGACGUCAAAUCAGCACGGCCCUUACGUCCGGGGCUACACACGUGUUACAAUGGCAGGUACAGAGAGACGGUUGUACGUAAGUACGAUCAAAUCCUUAAAGCCUGUCUCAGUUCGGACUGGGGUCUGCAACCCGACCCCACGAAGCUGGAUUCGCUAGUAAUCGCGCAUCAGCCAUGGCGCGGUGAAUACGUUCCCGGGCCUUGUACACACCGCCCGUCAAGCCAUGAAAGCCGGGGGCGCCUAAAGUCCGUGACCGUAAGGAGCGGCCUAGGGCGAAACUGGUAAUUGGGGCUAAGUCGUAACAAGGUAGCCGUACUAGUAC
Molecule: ribosomal RNA, 1530 nt
Filed under: metagenome
Description: bacterial SSU rRNA
Rfam family: Bacterial small subunit ribosomal RNA
Source: RNAcentral